Molecule: non-coding RNA, 81 nt
Organism: Xenopus laevis (African clawed frog)
Lineage: Eukaryota; Metazoa; Chordata; Amphibia; Anura; Pipidae
Source: Rfam
GUUGUUCGCGGGUGGAUCACGAUGCAAUUUUAUUUAAGUUUGGUAGGAGAAAAAUUGCACGGUAUCCAUCUGUAAACCGCA